UUUCCUCCUGAGCUGGCAGAGGCCAUCUUGUAAUGUACGCGGAUGGCAGUGACAGUGACAGCAGUAACAGAGGAAGGACCAAAGUCCGGAGAGGAGAAAUCACUUGUCCAAGGACACAUGGGGAGUUGGACCCAGGCUGGAUCCCAGGGCUCUUGAUUCCUGUUCAGAAUCAACACCACGCUUCCGACUCUGGUCCUCUACAACCUUGGCCAGGAGCCGGGCCUCUUGGAAGAGUACAACAGAGAACAAAAGCCAGGCCCUUACAACCCCCUCAGAACCCUGGAGGUUCUGAGGAGAAGACUGGCAUGGUCUUUCUACUGCUCUGUGGAAAGAGUGCACUGGGGAAGGAGGGAAGCAGGGAGACCAGCAAGAGGCCAUUGGGGUCCUCCCAGUGGAAGCAGGUAAAAGCUGGGACCAGGGGCCAGCAGUGGAGGGGUGAGAAGUAGUGGGGUCCUGGAUGUAUUUUGAAAGUAGGGCCACAUGUUUUACUAAGAGUUGGGUUGGGGGUGUGGGAGAAAGCAAGCAGUCAAGUUUGACUCCAAUUUUUUCGACCUGAGCAACUGAAAGAUGAAGUUAAGUUGCCUUUCCUGAAGUGGGAAGACCACCAAAGGAGCAGGUCUGGGGACAGACCAGGUUCAUCUGACAUUGAACUUGCUGAAUUUGAGGUGACUGUUAUCAGCGCCUGCCAUGAUGAGUCAUGGAGACUGAGGCAGUAAGAACAAUCGUGAGCCAGCGGUCUUCCAAGGGGAUCUGUGACAGGGAUGUGAGCUGAAGGAUGGUCACAGCUGGGAGGUCCUGGAUGGGAAACGUGAACAAGGAGAAGUCUCUGUGCGGACGUGUGCCUGGGCGACCCAGAAGCAGCCAGCAGGGUGUGAGCCUAUCAGCCCGCUGCACCCCAUCGGGGCCCCCAUGAUGGAUGGCAUCUGUCUUCUGC
Molecule: long non-coding RNA, 934 nt
Organism: Nycticebus coucang (slow loris)
Lineage: Eukaryota; Metazoa; Chordata; Mammalia; Primates; Lorisidae
Exons: 4
Source: RefSeq, a predicted model, not a curated record